AGCUGCUCAAGCGCCUACAGAACAACGACACGUGCAGCAUGCCAGGCCUCACGUGCUUCACCCACGACAACCAGCACUGGCAGACCGCGCCUUUCUGGACACUGGGGCCUUUCUGUGCCUGCACCAGCGCCAACAAUAACACGUACUGGUGCAUGAGGACCAUCAAUGAGACUCACAAUUUCCUCUUCUGUGAAUUUGCAACUGGCUUCCUAGAGUACUUUGAUCUCAACACAGACCCCUACCAGCUGAUGAACGCAGUGAACACACUGGACAGGGAUGUCCUCAACCAGCUACACGUACAGCUCAUGGAGCUGAGGAGCUGCAAGGGUUACAAGCAGUGUAACCCCCGGACUCGAAACAUGGACCUGGGCAGAUGACCUUUGACAAGCUGUGCUUCUGAGAGAGGAAUACCUGCAUCAACUGCCCAGGAGACACACGGAAUUCCCUCUCAUUUCAUUGUCCUCCCUUUUGUUCACUCAUGCAUUCAACAAACACUUCCUGAGAACUUACACCUGAAACCAUGUUGACUAAAGAUGACCCCAUCCUCGCUG
This 551-nucleotide small RNA is filed under the name Pongo abelii (Sumatran orangutan). Its description in RNAcentral is "processed transcript". The record is from RNAcentral. Lineage: Eukaryota; Metazoa; Chordata; Mammalia; Primates; Hominidae.